GGUAACCAUUCUUUUGCCAACAUUACUUACCGGAUCAAGCAAGGUGAUAGCUACUACUUUGUUUCGACCACUUCAUUUGAAAAUCUUACUAAUUGGGAAGCAGUGGAAGUUCUUAACCCCAACUUGGAUCCAAACCUCUUGUAUCCUGGUGACAAAGCGAUUUUUCCUUUGUUCUGUAAGUGCCCCUCAAAGACUCAUAUGAAGAAUGGAAUUCAAUAUCUUAUUACUUACGUGUGGCAGCCUGAUGAUGAUGUCUUAAAAGUGGCUGCUAAGCUAAAUGCAUCUCCACAUGAUAUUGCAAUAGAAAACAACUACCAAAACUUCAGUGUUGCGGUGCAUCAUCCACUGCUGAUCCCAGUGACUCAAUUGCCAGUUCUCUCUCAACCAUCUCCCUCUCCACCUCAAAGAAGAAAGCAUCAUUGGAUCAUCAUAGUAGUUGCAAGCAUAGCUGGUGCCCUUUUGAUCUUCCUUCUUCUGUAUUUGCUGGUUCAUGUUCAUUGUUCUGGUAACAAGAAGAAGAAGAUGAUGACUUUGUAUCGUAAUGGUUCCUGUUUGGAGACUGUGGAUCUUCUUCAAACAAAAGAGCUCAAGCAAUAUGACAGUUUUGAACCUAAGAUCAUACAAGAUAAGCUACUUCCUGGGGUUUCAGGCUAUUUAGGCAAGCCAAUCAUGUAUGAGGUCAAGGCGAUUAUGAAGGCAACCAUGGACCUACAUGAACACUACAGAAUAGGAGGAUCAGUAUAUAGAGCCAACAUCAAUGGUCAGGUCCUAGCAGUAAAGAAAACAAAGGAAGAUGUCACAGAAGAACUAAAGAUUCUGCAGAAAGUGAAUCAUGCAAAUCUAGUGAAAUUAAUUGGAAUUUCAUCCAACGCAGAUGGGAAUUGCUUCUUGGUUUAUGAAUAUGCAGAAAAUGGGUCACUAGACAAAUGGUUGUACCUAAACUCCGCAUCCCCCUCAAGCUUUGUAGCCUUCCUCUCCUGGAGUCAGAGGUUACAUAUAGCACUAGAUGUGGCCAGUGGGCUGCAAUACAUGCAUGAACAUAUUCAACCAAGCAUUGUCCACAUGGACAUAAGAACAAGUAAUAUACUUCUCGACUCCAGAUUCAAGGCAAAGAUAGCAAAUUUCUCAGUGGCUAAACUUGCUAGAGACUCUCUGCUGCCAAAAAUAGAUGUUUUUGCUUUUGGGGUUGUUCUGUUGGAAUUGCUUUCUGGAAAGAAAGCUAUGGUAACAAAAGCGAAUGGUGAGAUUUCCUUGUUGUGGAAGGAAAUGAAAGACGUCCUGGAAGUCGCAGAGAGAAGAGUGGAGAGGUUAAAGAAGUGGAUGGAUCCAAACUUGGAGAGCUUCUAUCCAAUCGAUGGUGCCCUAAGUUUGGCAAACUUGGCAAGGGCAUGCACGCUGGAUAAGUCUUCAGCAAGGCCAAGCAUGGCAGAAAUUGUCUUCAACCUCACUGUUCUCACGCAGUCAUCUCCAGAGACAUUAGAGAAGUCAUGGACUUCCGGGCUAGAUGCAGAAGAUAUUCAGAUAACCAGUCCUGUCAUAGCUCGUUGAUUUAACAUAAAAUAUACAAGUCCAAAGAGAUUUCCUCAUGCUUAAAGCUCAUGUGAA
Molecule: unclassified non-coding RNA, 1605 nt
Filed under: Hevea brasiliensis (rubber tree)
Lineage: Eukaryota; Viridiplantae; Streptophyta; Magnoliopsida; Malpighiales; Euphorbiaceae
Source: RNAcentral